RNAcentral lists this ribosomal RNA (295 nucleotides) under Staphylococcus aureus. RNAcentral's name for it is "partial 23S ribosomal RNA". It matches the Rfam family "Bacterial large subunit ribosomal RNA", at positions 2628 to 2925 of the family's 2925-position model. Lineage: Bacteria; Bacillati; Bacillota; Bacilli; Caryophanales; Staphylococcaceae. The record is from RNAcentral.
AGUUCGGUCCCUAUCCGUCGUGGGCGUAGGAAAUUUGAGAGGAGCUGUCCUUAGUACGAGAGGACCGGGAUGGACAUACCUCUGGUGUACCAGUUGUCGUGCCAACGGCAUAGCUGGGUAGCUAUGUGUGGACGGGAUAAGUGCUGAAAGCAUCUAAGCAUGAAGCCCCCCUCAAGAUGAGAUUUCCCAACUUCGGUUAUAAGAUCCCUCAAAGAUGAUGAGGUUAAUAGGUUCGAGGUGGAAGCAUGGUGACAUGUGGAGCUGACGAAUACUAAUCGAUCGAAGACUUAAUCAA